RNAcentral lists this ribosomal RNA (351 nucleotides) under Ananteris platnicki. RNAcentral describes it as "partial large subunit ribosomal RNA". It matches the Rfam family "Archaeal large subunit ribosomal RNA", at positions 2045 to 2633 of the family's 2987-position model. Lineage: Eukaryota; Metazoa; Arthropoda; Arachnida; Scorpiones; Ananteridae. The record is from RNAcentral.
UUAGUCUUAUAAUUUAAGACUGGAAUGAAAGGGAAAAUCAAAGAAAAAAUCUAUUUAUAAGAACCUUUAAAAUUUUCCUUUUAGUAAAAAGACUAAAAUAUCUCUCUCAGACAAGAAGACCCUAUAAAUCUUUACACAUAUUUUUAUUUAAAUUAAAUGUUUGUGUUAGACUGGGGCGGUCAAGAAUAAUAAACAUUCUUAAAUUUUACAAAAUUAUUUUAAUUCCCAGAAGUUCUGAAAAUUACUAAGAUACUUUAGGGAUAACAGCGUAAUUUUAUUUUAGAGCUCUUAUCGACAAUAAAGCUUGCGACCUCGAUGUUGAAUUAAAUCUCCUUCAUUACGAAAAAAGAA